This 354-nucleotide ribosomal RNA is filed under the name uncultured bacterium. Its description in RNAcentral is "partial 16S ribosomal RNA". It matches the Rfam family "Bacterial small subunit ribosomal RNA", at positions 338 to 709 of the family's 1533-position model. The record is from RNAcentral.
CCUACGGGAGGCUGCAGUAGGGAAUAUUGCUCAAUGGGGGAAACCCUGAUGCAGCAACGCCGCGUGGAGGAUGAAGGUUUUCGGAUUGUAAACUCCUUUUGUUAGAGAAGAUAAUGACGGUAUCUAACGAAUAAGCACCGGCUAACUCCGUGCCAGCAGCCGCGGUAAUACGGAGGGUGCAAGCGUUACCCGGAAUCACUGGGCGUAAAGAGCGCGUAGGCGGGAUCGCAAGUCCGAUGUGAAAUCCUAUGGCUUAACCAUAGAACUGCAUUUGAAACUGUUAUUCUAGAGUAUGGGAGAGGGAAGGGGAAUUCCUGGGGUAGGGGUAAAAUGCGUAGAGAUUAAGAGGAAAAC